GACGAACGCUGGCGGCGUGCUUAACACAUGCAAGUCGAACGGAAAGGCCCUGCUUUUGUGGGGUGCUCGAGUGGCGAACGGGUGAGUAACACGUGAGUAACCUGCCCUUGACUUUGGGAUAACUUCAGGAAACUGGGGCUAAUACCGGAUAGGAGCUCCUGCUGCAUGGUGGGGGUUGGAAAGUUUCGGCGGUUGGGGAUGGACUCGCGGCUUAUCAGCUUGUUGGUGGGGUAGUGGCUUACCAAGGCUUUGACGGGUAGCCGGCCUGAGAAGGUGACCGGCCACAUUGGGACUGAGAUACGGCCCAGACUCCUACGGGAGGCAGCAGUGGGGAAUAUUGCACAAUGGGCGGAAGCCUGAUGCAGCAACGCCGCGUGCGGGAUGACGGCCUUCGGGUUGUAAACCGCUUUCGCCUGUGACGAAGCGUGAGUGACGGUAAUGGGUAAAGAAGCACCGGCUAACUACGU
RNAcentral lists this ribosomal RNA (467 nucleotides) under uncultured bacterium. RNAcentral's name for it is "partial 16S ribosomal RNA". It matches the Rfam family "Bacterial small subunit ribosomal RNA", at positions 28 to 506 of the family's 1533-position model. The record is from RNAcentral.